Cyprinus carpio carpio is the source of this 2868-nucleotide long non-coding RNA. The record is from Ensembl. Lineage: Eukaryota; Metazoa; Chordata; Actinopteri; Cypriniformes; Cyprinidae.
CCAGAACAUAACCAUAUCGGCAACACUAAUUGUAUGCAAUAUAAUUGUCAUAAAUAUACUUGACAGACGUGGUCCUGAUUGAAAUUCAGCAUCGCGUUAGUUCAUGCAGGCCACGUCAGUCAAGCUCGCAUCAGCUGACAGUCAGCUGUUCCUGACAUGUACCAAUCGAGUCUUGACACCUAUCACAAGCAGUCUAUUUAAAUUUCCAUUCUUCAGCUUCUUUUCCAUCGCAUCGCUGCUUGCAAUUAUCUCCCUUCUCCAACCCCAACUCCACCAACUGAACCUGUAAUCCGAUCUGACUUUUGUUUCUUCCUUUACAGUCACUUCAUUGGAAGCAUUCUCUAUCAUGUUUCAUUUUACAACUAAUGUAAUUGUGAAUUGUAAUUAUGUAUGCGUAUAAUGGUUCUGUUCUUUACCCCAGGGGGGAUUGUCUUGCUGCUCUCUUAGCUCUGUAUAAGCAUGGCUGCAUGGACAGGCGUGUGGAGUGUUGCCCAGAACAUAACCAUACCGCCAACACUGAAAUAUAAUUGUCAUAAAUAUACUUGACGGAAGUGGUCCUGAUUGAACUAAGUGUUUGUGUAGAGAGUGGAAGCUGAAGUGUGCUUAAUGCAUGAGGCGCCAGCGCGAUCACUUCAUUGAAUUCUUCACUGGAAACAAGUAGGCUACGCUGUCAUUUUUGCUCAUACAGAGAAAACAAACAGGAUGUGCUUGCUGUCUCGUGAACAGGGAAAUGUCCAGCUCGGGCUGAAAUGCAAAGCUCUAAAAUCAGGAGAGAUGAGGCGAUUCUGAGAGAGAGACAAAGAAACUGGCCAAAAGAGACACGCGUCUAGCAGAGAGAAAAAAACGGGUUCCAUGGGGUAGAAGGUGCUGAGAGACGGUGGAAUUCCGGGAGUGUGGAGAUCAAGGAACUGAGAGAACAGGACAAGAAGGCCAGCAGAACUAGUGGAGCCAGGGGACUACCACAAGAAAAAGGACUUCUUAAAGAACAGAGUGAUCAUCAGAACUGGACAUCCAGAGAUUUCCAGACCUGCAAGAUUCAGAACUCCAAGCCUAAAAGAUCUAGAACCCCUGAGACCCACCAUGCCAUGGAUGGACCUGAUGGAACUUCACAAACUACAACAACAGCAAUGACUACUUCUUCUAGAAGGACUUUUCCAAAUUGAAAUGAAUGGACAAUGGACAAGAGAAACAAAGUGUUCAAACUAUUUUCAGAGACUGUGGACAGCAGUCUUAUCACAGAGAUGGAAAACAAGAUAUUAGAAAUGCACAAAGACAGACUCUCUGCACAUAAUACCAGAAAGAGACAAACAUAUGCAUACUCGAAUGCAGAACAUUGUCUACUGAACGCACACAUGUGACAAAGGAUGUCCACACUGAGAGAAUGGACACAAUGCUGUGACAAAAAUCCAUUUGGGUUUAUCUGUGAGUGCGAUGCUUUGGAAAAACAACCAUAGUGUGGAGCACCCCAGACAAACUAUGAAUCAUGUGAAAUCAACCUAACUCAUCUUCACAAUAAAUUCACUAGGGUAAUAGUUUCAGACAAGAAAACAUGAAUUACCACAACUUUAAAUCACUUCUCCAUCUUUAUCGAUAAUAACCAGACAUUAUGUCCAAUUAAUGAUACUUCAUUAUGUAUAACCCCCGAGUCAGCCUGGUCUUUAGGAAAUUAUCAUUUUCCAUAUGUAAGCACCACUCAACAGGCAAUGUCAGUAAAGCCAGAGGAACAACUGGGCUUUUUAGAAGAGAUCCCUGAAUUUGAGUUUGAGUUACCAAAACUGGAUGAUAUGCAAAGGAAAGAUAACCAUAUUGUUAAAGCUCAACAAGGUCUUGAUGAAAAGGAUAAGGCUUUAACUAAACAAAUGCAUGAUGGAGAUUUAGUUAUUGCAUACUCUGGUUUGAUUUGGGAUAUAACUUUUAAAACUGAUGUUUGUGUUUGUAUCUUCCUAAUUAUGUGUCACUGCAUUAUAUUUUGCUGUAUGUGUUCUAUGGUGUAAAGUCAAAUUGCAGAUAGUUCAGUGAUCAAUGUUGGACGUUCUCGUUGGUUGUGAUGGUUCUCGAUUACUUCUUCUAAACCCUAGAAACAUUUUUCAAAUUUAAACAAACCCGUGAUACUUUUGCAAAUGAAACGGAGUUGUAACCAGUGUGCAUGAGGUGUCGACCCAAUGACGGGUAAGAUUCUCCAGUGGCCAGAGGGGGACAACCUAAGCCAGGGCUUCACUGCCACUGGGCACCUACCGAGGAAGGGAGGUGUAAUCUGUGUAAGGAAGUGGAUGUGAUGCUUCUUUUGGGCCAAGAGCAUCAAAGAGGGGACUGUAAGAAAUUAUACUCUGUCUCGACCCAGCUUCCACUCCAAAUUGUGUAUUAAACUAGGCUCCUUUCCCCACAAAGAGCUUAAUUAUCAUAGAGAGUUAUUUCCGAUCUUAAUGAUAUGUAAAUAGUACCUCUGGAGUGAUAAUUUGUCACUUAUAGCGUGGGAGUAGCAGCAGGUCAUCAAGAACCAUCGGGAAUGGAAGGCUAUCACUUUCAUUUUUUUUUCGCAGUGUUGAGUGGGAAGAUGAACGUAAUACAGUAUAAAAUGUUUGAGCUUAGGAUGUUCGGGGUUCAUUCCAACUCCGUUGAACCCAAGGUACUACGUGUACAUUGUCACUGCUAUGCUGCUAUAAACAUCUUCGUCAAGAUCUUCAACGUCCUCACCACUUCUUCUUACAGUGUACAAAUAAAUAACCACACCGGUGCUCCCGCUGAUGGUUCACUCGCAUGCAGGUACUGAAAGUUUGGCCAAAUACUUAAACUUACAGGGAGCUUUAUCAUGAUAUCAAAUAUCAUUACUGAUUGCUUAUUAAUAGGAUGAUGUUCUGUAAUGGUGCU